UUCUUUCAACUCAGACUAAUAUAAGAAUAAUAUAAGAACUGACUGAAUAAAAUCUCUACAGAAAAUUACUGCAGGCAAGUAGAGAGAGCCCUACACAUGAAACAUCUGUGAGGUCGCUACCAUGAGCCUUUUCCUGGUACUCUCCUUAACAUUUAAAAGCGGCAUCAAUGGUCUUAAAGUUUGCAAUAGUCAUAUAUUAGAGAUUUUUACAUCAAGGAUUGAAGGCCAAAAGUCAGAAGGUCGGUUCUGGGCAUUCCAAAGAGAAGUCAGCCCACACGCCAGUCAGGUCCAUUCAUCACUUCUGAGAAUCCAUGCGUGGAUGCCAGUUUCAUACGUUGCUGCCCUGCACAGCACCGAUUAUUCGGCACCAGCGGUGCCCAGCCAAGGCGAGGGCCCUGCCGAGGGGCGAGCGCACCAGCACCCCAGGCCCGCGCCCCGGCGCCCCAGGACGGUGCCGCCCAGCUGCAGCCACAGGAGCCGCACGUGGCGUCUUCGGGUCUUUGUCCAGGAUUAGGGCCACGAUGGGGCGGCCAAGAGCCCCCGCCGCCGUCACCCGAGGUCACACAACUUUCAAAGCCGGCCCUGGAGCUGCCCCUUCACCCUUCCCGCCCCCCCACGUCUGUCACCCACGAGGCCUCCUCUUUCUUUAGACCCUGACUGAGGCGCCCUCCCCAGACCCCUCCCGCCGGCGGGCCCCUGCUCCCUCAGCCCCCCACCCCAGCCCGGGGCGGAUGCACAGUCCCUGGCAAGCCCGUGGGCCUUGGCCUUGGAGUCCUUUCUCAGUGGGUGCCGGGUUCUAGGUUGGGAACCGCCCCCGCCGCUGCGCUGGGGACCGGGGGCUGCCCCGCAGCAGCACGGAGACCACACCUGCGAGGGGGCCGGCGCCAGCCCCCCAGGCCCCCGGCCCCCCGGCUCCCUAGCUCCCCGGCCCCCGGCC
This 937-nucleotide long non-coding RNA is filed under the name Vulpes vulpes (red fox). Its description in RNAcentral is "lncRNA (ENSVVUG00000021501.1)". The record is from RNAcentral. Lineage: Eukaryota; Metazoa; Chordata; Mammalia; Carnivora; Canidae.